CUGUCAGUCGAGGCUAGAGUCGACUAAAUAUGACACCCGGAGACGUGAGGAUUAAUGGGCUAUGGAUGACACAGGUGUGGCAGUCUUGCUUGAAGACGGAAUGUUGCCGUAGUGACACUUACGGCUCUGAACCGCAAGUGAGCGUGGAUUAUGGUACAUGCGUCAUACAGUGAGAUGGUUUGUUAAGUGGAUCCGAACUAAGAGAGCUGACCUGUUGAUGUAAUUGACGCGAUUCAGUAAAUAUUGGUUAGGACUUGCUGACCAUUCCUAAGUUGUUCCACCCGACCUUAAUAGUUGCUGAAUGUAAUCAGUUUCUG
Molecule: long non-coding RNA, 317 nt
Organism: Haliotis rubra (blacklip abalone)
Lineage: Eukaryota; Metazoa; Mollusca; Gastropoda; Lepetellida; Haliotidae
Exons: 3
Source: RefSeq, a predicted model, not a curated record